This 468-nucleotide ribosomal RNA is filed under the name uncultured bacterium. RNAcentral's name for it is "partial 16S ribosomal RNA". It matches the Rfam family "Bacterial small subunit ribosomal RNA", at positions 28 to 507 of the family's 1533-position model. The record is from RNAcentral.
GACGAACGCUGGCGGCGUGCUUAACACAUGCAAGUCGAACGGAAAGGCCCUGCUUUUGUGGGGUGCUCGAGUGGCGAACGGGUGAGUAACACGUGAGUAACCUGCCCUUGACUUUGGGAUAACUUCAGGAAACUGGGGCUAAUACCGGAUAGGAGCUCCUGCUGCAUGGUGGGGGUGGGAACGUUUCGGCGGUUGGGGAUGGACUCGCGGCUUAUCAGCUUGUUGGUGGGGUAGUGGCUUACCAAGGCUUUGACGGGUAGCCGGCCUGAGAGGGUGACCGGCCACAUUGGGACUGAGAUACGGCCCAGACUCCUACGGGAGGCAGAAGUGGGGAAUAUUGCACAAUGGGCGGAAGCCUGAUGCAGCAACGCCGCGUGCGGGAUGACGGCCUUCGGGUUGUAAACCGCUUUCGCCUGUGACGAAGCGAGAGUGACGGUAAUGGGUAAAGAAGCACCGGCUAACUACGUG